GGGGUCAAAAUAUCCGUGUGAAAACUUUUUCGUCCAUCAUGGCUGCAAUCAGAGUUACAUUUCCCACAUGAAUUAUAAGUUGAUCGGGCGUGCUUUCGACGUGGAAGUGCUUUACAUCACCAAUCAGCGGCCGACAUUCAUUGCCAAGGGAUGACAUUACUAACAAAUAGUUUCUAAAAGCAAAAAAAUAACAUACCCAAAGCCGGCUCAAAGUUAGACUAAAACCAGCAAAGAGAACAAGGAAUCAGAUAAGCUGCAUAAAUAGCAUUAACAAAUAAUUCAUG
Hermetia illucens (black soldier fly) is the source of this 284-nucleotide long non-coding RNA. RefSeq lists it as uncharacterized. NCBI's taxonomy places the organism in Eukaryota, Metazoa, Arthropoda, Insecta, Diptera, Stratiomyidae. The record is from RefSeq and is a predicted model, not a curated record. The transcript is spliced from 3 exons.